RNAcentral lists this ribosomal RNA (253 nucleotides) under uncultured bacterium. RNAcentral describes it as "partial 16S ribosomal RNA". It matches the Rfam family "Bacterial small subunit ribosomal RNA", at positions 524 to 776 of the family's 1533-position model. The record is from RNAcentral.
UACGUAGGGUGCGAGCGUUAAUCGGAAUUACUGGGCGUCAAGCGUGCGCAGGCGGUUUUGUAAGCCAGAUGUGAAAGCCCCGGGCUUAACCUGGGAAUGGCAUUUGGGACUGCAAGGCUUGAGUGCGGCAGAGGAGACUGGAAUUCCUGGUGUAGCAGUGAAAUGCGUAGAUAUCAGGAGGAAUACCGAUGGCGAAGGCAGGUCUCUGGGCUGACACUGACGCUCAUGCACGAAAGCGUGGGGAGCAAACAGG